GACGAACCGUACGAACGUUAUUCGGAAUCACUGGGCUUAAAGGGUGCGUAGGCGGUCGGGUAAGUCUGAUGUGAAAUCUCACAGCUUAACUGUGAAACUGCAUUGGAUACUAUCCGGCUCGAGGAAUGGAGGGGAGACUGGAAUACUUGGUGUAGCAGUGAAAUGCGUAGAUAUCAAGUGGAACACCAGUGGCGAAGGCGAGUCUCUGGACAUUUCCUGACGCUGAGGCACGAAAGCCAGGGGAGCAAACGGG
This 253-nucleotide ribosomal RNA is filed under the name uncultured bacterium. RNAcentral describes it as "partial 16S ribosomal RNA". It matches the Rfam family "Bacterial small subunit ribosomal RNA", at positions 524 to 776 of the family's 1533-position model. The record is from RNAcentral.